This 253-nucleotide ribosomal RNA is filed under the name uncultured bacterium. RNAcentral's name for it is "partial 16S ribosomal RNA". It matches the Rfam family "Bacterial small subunit ribosomal RNA", at positions 524 to 776 of the family's 1533-position model. The record is from RNAcentral.
UACGUAGGGAGCGAGCGGUAUCCGGAAUUAUUGGGUGUAAAGGGUGCGUAGACGGGAAGACAAGUUUGUUGUGAAAUCCCUCGGCUUAACUGAGGAACUGCAACCAAAACUAUCAUUCUUGAGUACUGGAGAGGAAAGUGGAAUUCCUAGUGUAGCGGUGAAAUGCGUAGAUAUUAGGAGGAACACCAGUGGCGAAGGCGACUUUCUGGACAGAAACUGACGUUGAGGCACGAAAGUGUGGGGAGCAAACAGG